Molecule: non-coding RNA, 46 nt
Organism: Schistosoma rodhaini
Lineage: Eukaryota; Metazoa; Platyhelminthes; Trematoda; Strigeidida; Schistosomatidae
Source: Rfam
ACACUGUUGAGGAGUCUUACAACAAGACGAAACGGCCGUCCAGUGC